AUGAACGCUGGCGGCGUGCUUAACACAUGCAAGUCGAACGAUUAAAGCUCACUUCGGUGAGUGUAUAGAGUGGCGAACGGGUGAGUAACACGUGGGAAACCCGCCCCUUUCUUCGGGAUAACUUCGGGAAACCGUUGCUAAUACCGGAUACUCCGGGAUGGUCGCAUGGCCGACCCGGGAAAGCUUUAUGUGGAAAGGGAUGGUCCCGCGGCCCAUUAGCUUGUUGGUGGGGUAAUGGCCUACCAAGGCAAUGAUGGGUAGCCG
This 264-nucleotide ribosomal RNA is filed under the name uncultured bacterium. Its description in RNAcentral is "partial 16S ribosomal RNA". It matches the Rfam family "Bacterial small subunit ribosomal RNA", at positions 29 to 289 of the family's 1533-position model. The record is from RNAcentral.